GAUCAUUGACCAAUUAGAUGAUCAUGGUGAGUAACUUACUGGCUCUGAACCAGUUUUUCCAUUGCAAAAAAGGGAUGAGAGAUCUUAGUUCAUUGGAUUCUCACGAGGAAUGUGUAAGAUAAUACAUGUGAAGGUACUUCCUAAUCCAUAAAAUACUUGAAAAAUUAUUACUAUUUGUGGCCGAAGGGUUUAAUAAUAAAUUUACAUAAUUCCUGAAAACCAUAUAAGGAGUGAAUGCUGACAGAAAGAGUAGGCCCAGCUCUUCUUUUUCUGGAUCUAUGUUAUUGAUACCCUGCUGGACACCAGAUGAAGUAAGCCUGUUCUAAAGUCUCUCUCAUGGCAUGUCCACAAUUCUGCUCCCUGCCCUCACUGACCACAUAUGACAGAAGUACUAAUAGGCUGAGGAAAGACGAAACCCUCCCUUUGAGUAUCUUGUUUCUUUUUCGGGGAAAGAGUCCCUCUCCUCAAAGAACUGAAAUCCAUUUCUUGAUAUGGAAGUUAUUGGAAAAAAUUAUUUGCAAAGAAAAUCUUACUAAAAAACAAAAACAAACAACUCCCCAAAACCCACAAACAAAAAAAUCCCACUGAAUCAGAUGGCGUUAUUUCUUCAGAUUCAUUAGUUGGAAAAGAGCUGCCUCUCUUUAGGCACUGUGGGUGAGGGUCCUCCAAGCAUUUAUUUGUGAUAAUGGGUGAAGCUGGGUCACUCGACUUUAGCUGGAAAGGAUCCUCCAUCUACAGUUGGAAUGUUCCUCUUUUGAAAAUGAGAAAACUGAAGCCUGGAGUAUGUUAAAACUCCCAUUUUCAUAUCCAGUUUUAUGUCUUGCCAUAUCCAAGUUUUUAUUUUGUAUUUUAGCCAUGCAACAUUUAUUAUUUUAGUCUCUGCAGUGCUCUGUGUAUGUAUGCUUCUACCUCGGGGCGUUUGCACAUGUUAUUUUUAUGUCUUGAACAAAUCUCUCUCUUUCUCUACCCCUCCCUCUUUAUACCAUUUCGUGUGUCUAUAGCCUACCCCACAGUGAUUGAUAUUAUAGCACUUGUAAUUUAUCCAUCUGUCUGUCUCCUUCACCAGACUGUGCAUCUAAAGAGAAGGACCAUUUCACCACUUAAUAAUCCCCAAUGUAUUCCUUUUGCUCUGCCAAAUUCUUGGUUUAUUUUAAAUGUUCAACAAGUACUUGUGGAAUGAAAACAUAAAUGAAGAUGUGCUAAUACUUUUAUUUUUAACGUUUUAAUCUCCUUUGGAUAUUUUUGUAACCUUCAAGGGUGUAAAAUCCUUAUAUGGUAUGUAAGGGCCUAGGGUUUUUAAGCUCUCAGUCAACGAUAAAAUGAAACAACUAGGGCUUCUUAUUAAAUCUGAGCAAAGACGUAGUCAUAGGCAAAGUUGCUUUUUUUAUUCAACAAAGUUAACACCUCAAAGAUAUAAUGAAAAAAUGGAAGAGAUUAUGGAAAAUGUUGGAUUCCUAUGGGGAGAAGGAAGAUAUGUCUUUGAAAGUAGCUCCAGAUAAAUGAAGAGAAUUGAAGUCCUAGCUUUGGGAUAGCUAAUUGGUGAGAAUUACUGUAGAUAUGUAGAGUAAUUGUCAGUUGAGGAAGACUAUAUAAAAGUAGGAAACAUCCUACCUUGAGGGAUUUAGAGCAAGGGCUGGGCACUGGUUCAGGCACCUAAGAAUACCUUUUUCUCUGAGGGUACAGCCCUGGGUAAUAGGCAGCCACUUACAACUGUUUUAAUACUUCUGUUCUCUGUUUCCAAUUGGAGUGUUCCCAAGGGCAGGGACUUCUCUAAAUAUCUCUGAUUCUUACAAAACUGGCAUAGAGCCUAGCACAGAGCAGGGUUUUAGUGAAGAAAGCUUUUGAAUGAAUAAGUAGAAGUUAGAAGUAGAGAUAAAAUAAAACAUUUUAGAUGUUUUGGUGUAUGUAUAUUGUGAUGACUCAGCAAUGUGGGAAAAGUGGCUGGUUGCAUGCAACUGGCAGUCUGGACGGUGAGUUUUUCUUCUAGCAUCCAACAGGGCAGGUGAUCAGUAGAAUCUAGUAAAGCCUGAGCCCCAAUGCCACUUCUGUUUCUGUUAACUGUAUGACUUAAGUCUUCUUAACCGCCAGGAUAUUCAUCUUUCAACAGAGCUAAACAGGAAUUCUCAUCAUGGUGCAGUAGGUUAAAAAUCUGACUGCAGCAGCUUGGGUCCCUGCAGAUCAACGGGGUGAUCCCUGGCUGGGAGUAGUGAGUUAAAGAAUCUGGCAUUGCUGCACCUGCAGUGCAGAUCACAGCUGUGUGUCCCUGGCCCUGGAACUUCCAUAUGUUGUGGGUGCACCCAUAAACAAACAAACAAACAAAUAAACAAAAUGAGCUUAACAAUACUACUUACAUCUGAGGAUGGUUAUAAAGAGUAGCAAUGCUUAGAAGUGUAUUGGUGUACAGUAUGCACUCAGUAAAUACUAGCGAUAAAAGCAAUAUCCAACAUUUAUUAGUGCUAUUAUAUGUGUGUAUGUAUGUAUGUACAUUAUGUAUAUGUGUAUGUAUGUGUUUAUAUACAUAUGUAUGUAUUCAUGUGUAAAGUGUGUGUGUGUGUAUAUAUAUAUAUAUGUAUAUAGAUAUAAAAUCACAGCCUCAAAACAAGACAGAGAAAGGUCCUACAAACUAAUAUUUAUGUUUAUAGAUAAAGAAAGUAACAAAGAAAUCUUUAACUUUUUCCCAAGCUAUACAGAUAGUAAGUGACAGAGCCAGGAUUUGAACCUCUGAGUCUGCCAUUGUAAACUCAUGCUUUCUAUUGCCUCCUUGCUAUCAGUAUUACAGAUUUUAAAAGAGUAUGCAAUGGGAGAGAGUGGUGAGUAUUUGGUUAGAUGCACUGAUUUCAUCAGGUUUUGCAUAAGGCAGUGUGGCUAUCUAGCCAUAUUAAUCAGCAAAACUUUUCCUCACUCAAGUGAGACUUUGACAUCUAUCUUCAUGUAAUCUAGAGGACCUGGGAAUUCUGUUUAAUUACUGAAGUUAUUCCAGGAAGCCACUGAACUGAAAGUGAAUAAAGUCACAAAAAAAGAGGUAUAAAACUAUCUAAGGCCCAGAUUUACCUCACUGGUAAAUCAGGGGUGGCCCCAUAAAUUGAUGUUAUGCUGCUGUGUUUAUAAUACUCAUUUUGGGUAAAUUUUAUCCAAAUGACAGGAAAGAAUAUCUUUUUUGAGUUAGGAAAUUUUGUGGUAAUGAAAUAUUGGCAAAUGGAAAAGGGAGUGAAAAAGAUUAAGCAACGUGAAUGUCACCUGUGGGAUGGCAAAUAUUUGUUUUAACAGGUUAAAUAUUAGCACCUUGAAUAGAGCUAUGGGUCAGUCUACUUCUGUUUCUUCUGAAAGUGGCCUACUAUUGGAGUCAGCCACUUUAACUCCUAGACCCCCAAUUCUCACUUAGUUAAAUGGAAGCAAGAAUUCUCAGCAAAGAACAUUCACUAUGGAUGUGGAGUGAAUAAAUAUCUGGUCAGCUUCCAGCUGGAGUUUUUUGUUACCUUUUAGUGCUGAAACUAUUGGAAGAGGGCCAUGUUGGCACCUCUCUGCUACCUCAUUUAUUUCCCAGCUACUCUCCAGAAGAAGUUACUGGGAUUUGUGAGUAUGUGAUAUGGGAGAUUGAAUGGGGUAGGCGAGGAAAGGUGAGGGAGGGAGGGAAGCCUGAAAUGUGACCAUGAGAAUGCUAUACAGGGCAGCUACUUUUGAGUCAUGAAUCCACCACCAGCCAGCAUGAAUUCAAGGAUCUUGGUUGGGAGAAAAUUUGGGCUUAGCAAAAGCUUGGGGGAGGGGAGGUUAACACUGGCCACAGGUCGAACCUAAUAAACUGUAUUCACCAACACACCUACCCAAUGCAGACUCAUGGGCUCUGCAAUUCAGAUCCUUAAACAUUAAAUCUCCCAGUAGAGAUGUAGCUGGGCACGAACUCUAAGACAACUCUAAGAAAACCAUGGCAAUGGAAGAAGGCAAUGGCAGAGAAAAUACUAAAUGGUGUAGGCAGCCAGAGAAGAAUCUCUACAGUCCUUGAAUAGCCCACUGAAAGCUGGAAUGUAGCACUUCUGCCCAGAGCCCUCACAGCUCAUGUGGGUCAUAGUCCUGAGAAUAGAUGUGACUGGUCCAGAAAAAAAAAAAAAAAGCUAAAUGUAGAAGGACAUCAUUGAACCUGUCUGAUGAGUAAUACUUGCCUAGUGCUUUGACGUUUUUAGAAGAAACAUGAAAUCAAUGGGUAAAUUGUUAGAACAGUACACAAAGCAGGUAGCUGGCUAUCAUGGUUCCAAGAUAAUCUCGAAUCUAUGCUCCUAUGUAAAAAGAACAAGCAGGAUCUUGAAAAGACUUUCAUAAUUUAUUUAGAAAGAAUCCUAUGUUCUAAGGACUGUAUUCUCUUUGUUAGAGGUGAGCAAACACUGACGUUUGAGGCCAUGAGAUCAGAUGUAAUUAAUAGAAUGUUAACUCAUUAUGUCUAACACCAAAUCCCCCAGGGUCUGUGAGAAAGGAACUAAAAAGCCACUCAAGUGAGAGACUGUGGCUUAUUAGCACAAGGAGAAAACCACUAUCAUUUCUGCUCUUUGUUUUACAGUUAUAUAGCAAUGAAUAGUUCAUAAUACAUUUUUUAUUGAAUUGACAGCUUUGAGUACCACAAAGUUAAAAAGAAUGGAUAUUAAUAUCCUCAUCUGUAGGAAAAGAAACUGGGACUCAGGCUCAAAUGCUCAAAAUGAAAGCUUCACCUCCUCUUUUCCCUCCAAGUCUAGCCUCAUCCUCUCAUGUUAUGAUUGCUUCAAACUCUAGAUAAAGUGAAAUAAACAGACUGACCCCCAACAGGGUCUACGCAAGUUACAUGCAGGGUGUCUCCUGAUAGGGUCCCUGCUAGUUCAGGGUUUACCCUAAAAAGGAGACACACAGGUAGUCACAUUACUGGGUUUUAUGGCAUGUAGAAGAUUGGUGAUUGUAUGAUAACCAACAAGAGUUGAGCAGUUACCAGCACAGUAAGAAGACUAUGCUAAGAACUUUUCCUGUAUUAUCCUCACAAUAACCUCUGAAAUCAGUAUUAUUAUAACUCAUUUUACAGGCUACUGAGACAAGUAUGAAGUAGCUUUCCUCAAGUCAUUCAGUAAGGGUAAACCCACAUAGAUUUGUACUUGUAGGCUUAGUAAUUAAUACUUUGUCUUUGACUUUGGUGUCUAUGCCAUUCCUGAGUCUAAAUGAAGUUAGAAGAACAAUGAAUUUGGUAGAAAAGAAUACAAACUCAGGGUCAGGAGAUGUGAGUUCUAGUCUCACCUCUGCUACUGAUGAGCUGUACAUCUAAGCCUCACUUCCCUCAUCUGCAAAAUGAAAGUUUGGUCCUAUGUAAUUUCCACGGUUCCUCACAAAUCUAAUAAUGGGAUGUAUUUGACUAAAGACUGUGCCAUAUUAGCUUCUCAAAGUUCUCAUUUCCUAAACUACAGUCUGAAGGUAUUCUCUGGGCUUCUGAACUCAGGUAUGCUACACUAACUAUCUUAGAAAAUCCAAACUUGUAAGAAAUGUUUUAUUGAGUUCUUGAGCUCUGCAAAACUCCUAGGAAUGUUGAUAACUCAUCUUUUCAGGCUCCUGCCUUGGGCUUGCAUUGACUGUGACAUCCAGUGUCCAAUGACUCCUCAUGUUUAUUCUGAGAGGUGGGUUAUAGGGUAUCACCACCUUUCAGACGAGCCUUCUUCAAUUGCCUUUGGCAGCUUAAAAAUCACUUUCACAGCUCACAGUACCCUGAGGUGCUAGGGUUCUCAUUUUAUACAUGAAGAAAUUAAACCCUAGACAGUGCUAUGCCUUGACUAAACUCUAAAUACUCAUGAGUAAAGACCUGGGUCCUGAACCAGGGAUCGAGCCACAGCCACUGUAGAAGCAAUGCCAAGUAGUUAUGUUGUGAGCCACAUGGGGUUAUGUUGGAGCAUGAUAAUGUGAGAAAAAAGAAUGUAUACAUGUAUGUGUAACUGGGUCACCAUGCUGUACAGUAGGAAAAAAAAAAAAAGACCUGGUCCUAAACCCCAUCUUCUGACUCUAAAUAUAGAUGUAUUUCCAGUGCCUCUUGUACAGAAGGUAGGGCCUACACUAGUAAAGAUUCAUGACUCUCCCCUUUACCAUCCAUGUGAUCUUGGGUGAGUCAUCCAAAGUUUAUGCAUUUUAUCUGUGAAAUGGGCUAAUAAUACCUAUGAUGCAAUGGUAAUGGCUCAGAUAUGACACAUUCAAAAUUACCUAGCAGGGUGGCUAGCACAAAGUACAUACUCCAGAUCACUUUUAUUUCCAUUUCUCCAUGUUUGAAAACCUAGUGUUUUCUUUUGCUUCCAAGAAGUUUACAGUUUUGUCCUUCCAGUCUAAUUACUAUAUGAAUGAAGAACCAAUAUUUUAAAGAUUUCCUAUAAAAAUCAUUUUCUUGUCAGUGGAGAGCAAAGAAUAGAACAAGUUAUAAGAUUGAAAAAUUUUUAAUUUAAUACAUCAGGAUAAUCUGGGGCUCCAGAGUUAUAGCUUUCUUGCUAUUUAAGUCUCUUUAUUCUGUUAGCUUCUAAAGCUCAUUUUCCAUCUUUUAAACUCAUCUUAAAAAAAAUGAACUCACAAUGAUAUAAUAUAUUAGUCAAGCAUCCUCUCAGGCAUUAAGUACAUAAAUGUAAACUCUAAUGGAAACUCAAGCAUUAGAAAAUCUAUAUUCAGCAUAUAAAGCUUUGUCCAUGGUGAAACAUUUACCCAUUCUCAAUUUAUGCUGUAAUCAGCAAAAGACUAGGACCCAAACACAGUGAACAAGUCUCCAAGCUAUAUUUUUCCAUUUUUAAUAUUACUAUUCAUGCACAUUUAUUUAAAAACAGAACAUUUUCUUUUAACCACCAUUACUGGUUUUCAAUUCCAGAUGUUUGAUGUCCUGCUGAUUUUAUCACCUGAUUGUCUCAGCCGGUUUCUGGUGUUGGGAAAGAGCAGACAAACUAUCAUUGAUUUAUCUAUCUACUGUGUGGGUAAGGCUCUUCUUUGCAUUAUCAUGCUUUAUCCAUUUGACUCUGCAGAGGUAUGCAGACCUGCAUGGUGAUGUCAGACUCCAGAGUCUGUGUUCUCCACUUCCCCUCAUUACUUCCAGGGGUCCUGACACUAAAGAAUCCUGGGAUGGACUAGGAGUCUGGGUUUGCAGAUACAGGCUAUUACAUUUGGGGUGGAUGAGCAAUGAGUUCCUAAUGUAUGGCACAGAGAACUAUAUCUAAUCUCCUAGGAUAGAACCUGAUGAAAGAUAAUAUGGGGAAAAGAAUGUAUGCAUAAGUGUGACUGGGUCAUUUUGCUGUACCGCAGAAAUUGGCACAACAUUGUAAGUCAACUAUAUUUUAAUAAAAAUAAUAUGUGCAAAAAAAAAAAAAAAAAAAAAAAAAA
RNAcentral lists this long non-coding RNA (7347 nucleotides) under Sus scrofa (pig). RNAcentral describes it as "lncRNA (ENSSSCG00055010956.1)". Lineage: Eukaryota; Metazoa; Chordata; Mammalia; Artiodactyla; Suidae. The record is from RNAcentral.